UCACUUUGGCAGUACAUAUACUAAAAUUGGAACGAUACAGAGAUUAGCAUGGCCCCUGCGCAAGGAUGACACGCAAACUCACCAUGCAGCCAGUUCCA
Molecule: small nuclear RNA, 98 nt
Organism: Ochotona princeps (American pika)
Lineage: Eukaryota; Metazoa; Chordata; Mammalia; Lagomorpha; Ochotonidae
Source: Ensembl